UUUCCGUAGGUGAACCUGCGGAAGGAUCAUUCAUAAUAAAGUGUUUUAUGGCACUUUUUAAAAAUCCAUAUCCACCUUGUGUGCAAUGUUAGAUCUCGUCAAUCUUGGCGAGAUUUUUAUACAUCAACUCAUUCUUUAACUAAUUUGUCUGAAAAAUAUUAUGAUUACUUAAUUCAAGAUACAACUUUCAACAACGGAUCUCUUGGCUCUC
RNAcentral lists this unclassified non-coding RNA (211 nucleotides) under plant metagenome. RNAcentral describes it as "partial contains small subunit ribosomal RNA, internal transcribed spacer 1, and 5.8S ribosomal RNA". The record is from RNAcentral.